CCUACGGGUGGCAGCAGUGAGGAAUAUUGGUCAAUGGCCGUAAGGCUGAACCAGCCAAGUAGCGUGAGGGAAGACUGCCCUAUGGGUUGUAAACCUCUUUUAUGCGGGGAUAAAGGUGUCCACGUGUGGAUGUUUGCAGGUACCGCAUGAAUAAGGACCGGCUAAUUCCGUGCCAGCAGCCGCGGUAAUACGGAGGAUGCGAGCGUUAUCCGGAUUUAUUGGGUUUAAAGGGUGCGUAGGCGGACUGUUAAGUCAGCGGUAAAAGCCCGGGGCUCAACCCCGGCGAGCCGUUGAAACUGGCUGUCUUGAGAUGUCGAGAGGUAUGCGGAAUGCGCAGUGUAGCGGUGAAAUGCUUAGAUAUUGCGCAGAACUCCGAUUGCGAAGGCAGCAUACCGGCGGCGAUCUGACGCUGAGGCACGAAAGCGUGGGUAUCGAACAGGAUUAGAUACCCCGGUAGUC
Molecule: ribosomal RNA, 459 nt
Filed under: uncultured bacterium
Lineage: Bacteria
Description: partial 16S ribosomal RNA
Rfam family: Bacterial small subunit ribosomal RNA
Source: RNAcentral